This 35-nucleotide ribosomal RNA is filed under the name Amphimerus sp. JM-2019. Its description in RNAcentral is "partial 28S ribosomal RNA". Lineage: Eukaryota; Metazoa; Platyhelminthes; Trematoda; Opisthorchiida; Opisthorchiidae. The record is from RNAcentral.
UCCUGACCUCGGAUCAGACGUGAUUACCCGCUGAU